Molecule: long non-coding RNA, 940 nt
Filed under: Chloebia gouldiae (Gouldian finch)
Lineage: Eukaryota; Metazoa; Chordata; Aves; Passeriformes; Passeridae
Description: Erythrura gouldiae (Gouldian finch) lncRNA (ENSEGOG00005013244.1)
Source: RNAcentral
GGCCGGGCUCCGCGCGGCGCUGAGCGGGACGGGCGCGGGAAGUGCAGCGGGAGCGGGAGGGUGAAGGGGAGGGUGAGGGUGAAGGUGAAGGUGAAAUGCCGGUGCCGGCGGCGGCCGUGGCCGUGGUGGCGAUGGCGGUGUUGGUGUUCGCGGAUCGGGCGCCUUGCCCUCCCCAGCGGCGGCGGAGCGGAGCGCAGCAGCGGAGUACAGAAGCCGAAAACAUGGAGACUGUUGUUAAUGAUCCUCUUCCCAAAAAGUAUGUGUCUGGCUGUGCCUAAUAAGCUCUUCAGAGGGGAGAAACCCUCUUGAAAGAAGAUGGGGCUAAAUUCCACAUGUGAAUUCUAGGAGUAGCUGUGUCUAAACCUGUUAACUUUUGGCUAGGGUAGGGUGGAUGUGUUUCAUCAUCUGGAGUUGAUACCUUUUGGGAGCAGUAAUAUGUGAAGCUGCUUUGGGAGCAGUAAGAUGUGAAGCAGAUCUAGUAAAAGCUAAUUUUAGGCUAGGUCUUUACCUCAAUUUUUAAACAGUUAAAAUUUGGAGCUUCAAUGAGAGCUUCUGCAGUCCAUCUGAUCUUCAUUAAGAGGGGCUGGAACCCAGCUUACUGUGCCUAAAUUAGCCUUGACUGCUUCUAUACAGACAAAUAGAGUUAGGAUUUCAUCAUGUGCUGCUUCUCUCUUUGGGCUGUCACUAAUGCUUAAGCUAUUACAGUACUGAUUUUGGUAGUUGAGUGGCUGUGUUGCACAGGGAUUGCUUCAGGGAUAGCUCCUCUGCUCUCAAAGUGCUGCAAAGGUUGCAAUGAGUGUACCUGUGCUGCAGAAGCUGCAGGUGAGUUUUUGAAGUCUGGAAAAUGGAAGUGGAAAGUCCAGCUGUAAUUUUGGUGUCUGUGUGAAUGUAAAGCAUUCAAAUGUAUGAAUAAGUCAAUAAAGAUACAUGACUGGCUGGA